This 409-nucleotide ribosomal RNA is filed under the name bacterium. Its description in RNAcentral is "partial 16S ribosomal RNA". It matches the Rfam family "Bacterial small subunit ribosomal RNA", at positions 355 to 776 of the family's 1533-position model. The record is from RNAcentral.
UGGGGAAUAUUGCACAAUGGGCGAAAGCCUGAUGCAGCGACGCCGCGUGAGGGAUGACGGCCUUCGGGUUGUAAACCUCUUUCAGUAGGGACGAAGCGCAAGUGACGGUACCUGCAGAAGAAGCACCGGCUAACUACGUGCCAGCAGCCGCGGUAAUACGUAGGGUGCGAGCGUUGUCCGGAAUUACUGGGCGUGAAGAGCUCGGAGGCGGUUUGUCACGUCGUCUGUGAAAUCCUAGGGCUUAACCCUGGACGUGAAGGCGAUACGGGCUGACAUGAGUACUACAGGGGAGACUGGAAUUUCUGGUGUAGCGGUGGGAUGCACAGAUAUCAGGAAGGACACCGAUGGCGAAGGCAGGUCUCUGGGUAGUAACUGACGCUGAGUAGCGAAAGCAUGGGUAGCGAACAAG